Molecule: ribosomal RNA, 253 nt
Filed under: uncultured bacterium
Lineage: Bacteria
Description: partial 16S ribosomal RNA
Rfam family: Bacterial small subunit ribosomal RNA
Source: RNAcentral
GACAGAGGGUGCAAACGUUGUUCGGAUUUACUGGGCGUAAAGCGUGCGCAGGCGGUUUUGUAAGUCAGAUGUGAAAUCCCCGGGCUUAACCUGGGAACUGCGUUUGAAACUACAAGGCUAGAGUGUGACAGAGGGGGGUGGAAUUCCACGUGUAGCAGUGAAAUGCGUAGAGAUGUGGAGGAACACCGAUGGCGAAGGCAGCCCCCUGGGUUAACACUGACGCUCAGGCACGAAAGCGUGGGGAGCAAACAGG